RNAcentral lists this ribosomal RNA (496 nucleotides) under uncultured bacterium. RNAcentral's name for it is "partial 16S ribosomal RNA". It matches the Rfam family "Bacterial small subunit ribosomal RNA", at positions 28 to 507 of the family's 1533-position model. The record is from RNAcentral.
GACGAACGCUGGCGGCGUGCCUAAUACAUGCAAGUUGAGCGCUGAAGGUUGGUACUUGUACCAACUGGAUGAGCAGCGAACGGGUGAGUAACGCGUGGGGAAUCUGCCUUUGAGCGGGGGACAACAUUUGGAAACGAAUGCUAAUACCGCAUAAAAACUUUAAACACAAGUUUUAAGUUUGAAAGAUGCAAUUGCAUCACUCAAAGAUGAUCCCGCGUUGUAUUAGCUAGUUGGUGAGGUAAAGGCUCACCAAGGCGAUGAUACAUAGCCGACCUGAGAGGGUGAUCGGCCACAUUGGGACUGAGACACGGCCCAAACUCCUACGGGAGGCAGCAGUAGGGAAUCUUCGGCAAAGGACGAAAGUCUGACCGAGCAACGCCGCGUGAGUGAAGAAGGUUUUCGGAUCGUAAAACUCUGUUGGUAGAGAAGAACGUUGGUGAGAGUGGAAAGCUCAUCAAGUGACGGUAACUACCCAGAAAGGGACGGCUAACACGUG